RNAcentral lists this ribosomal RNA (483 nucleotides) under uncultured bacterium. Its description in RNAcentral is "bacterial SSU rRNA". It matches the Rfam family "Bacterial small subunit ribosomal RNA", at positions 28 to 507 of the family's 1533-position model. The record is from RNAcentral.
GAUGAACGCUGGCGGCGUGCAUAACACAUUCAAGUCGAACGGAGUUGUUGUUUUAGAUCCCUUCGGGGUGACGAGGCAUCAACUUAGUGGCGGACGGGUGAGUAACGCGUGAGCAACCUGCCCUUGCGUGGGGGAUAACGUUUGGAAACGAACGCUAAUACCGCAUAACGUAUUCUUAUUGCAUGGUUUGAAUACCAAAGAUUUAUUGCGCAAGGAUGGGCUCGCGUCUGAUUAGGUAGUUGGUGGGGUAACGGCCCACCAAGCCGACGAUCAGUAGCCGGACUGAGAGGUUGAACGGCCACAUUGGAACUGAGAUACGGUCCAGACUCCUACGGGAGGCAGCAGUGGGGAAUAUUGGGCAAUGGGCGAAAGCCUGACCCAGCGACGCCGCGUGAGGGAAGACGGUCUUCGGAUUGUAAACCUUUGUUGACAGGGACGAAACAAAUGACGGUACCUGUCGAGGAAGCCACGGCUAACUACGUG